Molecule: microRNA precursor, 96 nt
Filed under: Nannospalax galili (Upper Galilee mountains blind mole rat)
Lineage: Eukaryota; Metazoa; Chordata; Mammalia; Rodentia; Spalacidae
Description: miRNA (ENSNGAG00000007049.1)
Rfam family: mir-135 microRNA precursor family
About the family: The hairpin precursors (represented here) are predicted based on base pairing and cross-species conservation -- their extents are not known. In this case the mature sequence is excised from the 5' arm of the hairpin.
Source: RNAcentral
GCUCUGCUGUGGUCUAUGGCUUUUCAUUCCUAUGUGAUUGCUGUUCCAAACUCAUGUAGGGCUAAAAGCCAUGGGCUACAGUGAGGGGCAAGCUCC